GGCGCUGGUGAUGUCCCAUCUCUGCCGUCCACAUGCAGACAGGGAAGGCUUGUGGGUGAGGAAACUCAUCCAGAUCCCACGGUUGGUAAGAAGUGGGGCUGAAAUUGGACCGAGGGCAUUGGCUGCUCCUCAGGGAGAGGCUGGUCUGAGACAGCUGGUGCCAGAGACACAGCCUGCAAAGCUCAGCUGCUCACCGCAUCCAUGAGGGUCAGCUGCUCUGCCAGCAGCCUGGGAGGGAAGGUCGUCAUGUCAGGCAGCUCCUCACUGGGUUGGUUCUUUACAGACCCACGACAGGGACAGGAGGACUCUGGGGCUGACUGUGGCUCCAGCACUGUCCCUGGAGGGGGCCCUUCCCCUGGUGCUGGUGCUGGCCCUGGUGCUGAAUGUAGAUAUCCUGGUGGACCCAGGGCUGCAGGUGACUCUGGCUCCAGAGCAGGCCCCAGGUCCGCCAGCAGUGGUGGUGCUGGCUCCAGGGCCGGCAUUGUUAAUGCGUGUUGCCCAGGACGUGGAGCAGGAUCUGGAAAAGGAGAAAAGGUCACCACACCAGUCAUUUUUCACUGGGUUUUCCAAGCACAGAAAUGACCGGGUGGAAUUUAAGGGAAUUGUAGCCCCAAAACACCACCCCCGGAAAGUCUUGCAGACUGCAAGCCCCCUCACCAUCUGGCUUGGCCUCGUUGGGCUCCGGAAGCACCAACUGGCCUAGGACAAUUUCCUGAUGGUCCUCCAAGCCCAGUCCAGGCCAGGAGAGGUUCCUGAAGGCCAGCUUUAUCCGGAAAGAUGACCGUUGCGGGGGCUGAUAGUAAACUGAAGUGUUUUCGGGGGGCCAGUUGAACAAAAUGGAGGUGAUGGUGCUGGUGAUGGAGUAGACAGCUGAGUCAGAGGCCUGGCCUUCUCCCACACAACCCUCCAGGGCACCCCUGCGUGGUUCUGGGUCCCUGGCCUGUUGCUGCCAGUGUGGAGGACAGCCCCACCCUACCGUAAGCCAUCAGUGCUGUCCUGGAAGGGGCAGACCUGGCCAUACAGCAGGGCUGUACAGACCCUCGUGCGCCCUGGCGUCCCACAGACAUUCUCUUCCCAAAGGCCCUGGAGCACAGCACUGUACACCUGGGCACUCAAGACUGCAGCUGCAGGCAGAUUUGUGAGCAGCUUCCUCAUCAAAGCUCCAGAUCUGGGUCCCCUGGUCCUGGGGUUAGGAGGGAAGGGGCAGAUGUCGGGGGGAGGAGGACAGGGAGAGCUGGGAAGCCACGGUGCUGAGGGGGAUGGGUCUCUCAGUGGCCAGCUGUGACCCCAGCCUCCCCUCUGCUUUGCAGGGGACCUAAGUCUCCAUUUACAGAACUCACUAUUUGCCUCUUGUGGGGGAAGUCCCCAGAUGUCAGCCUUCUCGUGGGAAUUAUAAGAAGUAUGAGCCCCAGAGCUCCUUUAGUCUCUCCCCAGCCAGAGUCCACAUAUUUUCCCCCAUGUUUUGUGGGUGAAAAGGCCCUUCAGAACCCUAAAUCCACCCAGUUUAUAUUUGUUGCUGGGCUGCGUCAUUCUAGUCAGAAUCUGGGAGGAUGCCACCAUACGUAGAGGAGGCCAUGAGGGUCUCACCUGUAACAUUCUGUAGAUAUGACUUGUUUAUUCUGUCUACUGUGAGUGCCUGACUCUGAGUAGAAUCAAGGCCGGGGGAUUGUCAUCUGCUUUGUUUAUGAAAUUAUGCCAAGCCCCAAGAAGAGCGAUGCACAAAUGAGGUGUUUUGAAUGUAUGUGUUGAAUGAGUGAACCCCAACCUUUGGAGAACCCCAGUGAGCCUCUCCAGAUGUCUGAGUGGGCCUGUGGCUCCUUUUUCAGCACCAAGGGACCCCUCUUCUGUCUGUGUCAAGGAGAAAGACCAGCCAGAAGGAAUCUCAGACAUCCUUUACCAGUGCCAUCGCAGACUUGGUUUCUAUGUGUUUUUCCAAACAGUGAGUGAUACAGGCCAUUGAGGCAGAAUGCUGAGAGCUGCUUCAAGUGAGGGGGAAGAGAAAAGUAACAAACAUGAAUCACAGCACCCCCAGCAGAUUUUCCAGAGUUUUAGGCUCUAGGGACCCCUUUGUUUGCUGUGUCUUAGAUCAUUGAGUCCCUACAAGAACCCUGUGAGGUUCGUCUUCUCACUACUCCCUGUUCCAGAGGAGCCAACCGAGGCUCCGAGAGGUGCAUCUUCAAGACAGAGCCAGUAGGGGACAGAGGCACCUCUGUGUCUUGGAGGGGGAUGGACACUCACCUUCUAACCAGUAGUUCCAAAAAGUGUGGCACAGUGAUAAAGUCCCAGGAGGGGCCCAGGCAGGUGGCAUAGGAGGAGAUGGGUUUAGUUAGAAAGGCUGGAACCAGGGACUCCCAACAGCUUCUCCCCAGUGCCGGGCUGGAAAGUUAGCAUCCUGCAGAUCUCAUUUUCAUACUAGGGGGACAAGGAGGGACAUGGGAGUCAGUGGUAACACCAUGGACCACCAGAGGAUCGGGAUCUGGAACUCACACCAAGAAGCACCAACCCUUCAGGGACUUGUGCAUAUGGAGAACCUGGGUGCCCAUGGUGAAAAGCGUUCUAGGCUUUCAAAGUAACAUUGCAUGUGAGGAUGGAGAAUGAUAAAACGAUUCCUGCCUUCAAGGCAUCGUCCCGGUGUUUGUCAGCUGUGGGGCAACAGCACCCUCUGUGUCAGCAACCUGCAUGAAGAGCAUCAUCCCUGCAAGUCCUCAAGGCCUGGGGAGGCCUCAUCCCCUCCUCAUUUCAGCAACAGCACACAGGACAAUACGCUCUAGAAGAACUCUUUGACUUAAAGGUAUAUGAUUGUUUUUGUUCCUUUAACAUGAACGUGAGUCUGGAGAAACAGCUACGGCCAUCCCAGCCCUGGCCAAGGGGAAAAUGCCGGAAGACUCCAGGGUGGGAGGAAGCGCGUCCCAAGGCCCAGGAUCUGCGAGGCGACUUGGGGAAAACGCAGGCAGGACCUGCUGAAGCUCACACCCGUGGACCACCCAGACUGCCUGCCGCUACAGGAUGCCCUCCGCAUCUCCCAGGACUUCUUUCCGGCAUCAGUGUGGACAUUGACCCCACUGGACUGCAGUCACAGUGGACUCCCAAGGGGCAGGAUCCACCUCUGAUGUUCAGUGAAGACUACCAGAAAAGUCUGCUAGAGCAGUACCAUCUGGGUCUGGAUCAAAAACUCAGAAAAUACGUGGUUGGAGAGCUCAUCUGGAAUUUUGCCGAUUUCAUGACUAACCAGUGUAAGCGGCAGUUUGGCUCAUAGGAUAAUGUACCCGUCCUCAUUUUUUCAGGUUGCCUUGCCCAUUCUGGACACUUUGAUUGUAAGAAUAUUGGAAACAAAGCGAGGAGCUGGUUUAAUCCAUGCAGGUUGCGUUGAGGAUUUCCUAGGAAAAGUGAGUUGUGCUUAGUAAGUAGGAAAGCAGUCAGGCCCCUGCUUCCCAAAUACAGUCAAAAAGCAAACAGGAGAGUCUGCUAUAGUGAGAUGUAAAUGGCUAGCUUGCCUUUUUCUUGUCUAUUUCAUAGCCAAGGAGGAAGGAAAAACUGGACCUCAUGGAUUUACUUUAGGAAGGUACAAAGCCUGAGAAGCUUAAGGUAUUUCAGUCUGUUUUAUAUUACUCACUUGCAAAAAGCAGGCUCAUCGAAUACAGGUGAGUUUCAACACAUCUUGAAUAUGGCAGCAUUUAAAAGUCUUUAGACUGGGCAUGGUGACUCAUGCCUGUAAUCCCAGCACUUUGGGAGGCCAAGGUGGGAGGAUCAUUUGAGGCCAGGAGUUCGAGACCAGUCUGCUAAGCAUAGCAAGACCCCUUCUCUACAAAAAGUAAGCAAAUUAGCUAGGUGUGGUGGUGUGUUCCUGUAGUUCCAGCUGCUUGGGUGGCUGAGGCAGGCAGAUCGCCUGAGCACAGGAGUUGGGGGCUGCAGUGAGCUAUGAUUACACCACUGCACUUGAGCCAGGGUGACAGAGUGAGACCUGUCUUAAAAAAAAAAAAAAGGGGGUCUUCAAAGACAAGAACAUCUGUGCUGUCACGUUGGGUGGAUGAGGGGCUGCCAGGUUUGCAAUGAAUGUUUCCCAUUUCUUCUUAGUUUAUGGACUUACCAUAAACUCAGGAUGGCAGUUUGGUGGGUUGGAGAAGGAUAUGGUGAUUGCGGGAGUUACAAGACAUUACUUAUAGGGGAAAACAGGGUUUUGAAAGGUUAACGCUUAAAAGUGAGAAUGGAAAAGGGAUGAAUGAAUGAACAAGAUGAGGUGAGAUGGAAGAGGUAAAGGGAAAAGGAGAACAAGCAGCUCUUCUCUGCGUGGCGCCUGGGAUGAAUGGUUUCUGGGGACAUCCCUGAUGGCAGUUUUGUGGAGAGGCGCAAAACUUUAUGUGGUAAGAAAUGAGCUGUAGGCCCAGCGCAGUGACCCACGCCUGUAAUCCCAGAACUUUGGGAGGCCGAGGAGGGCGGAUCACUUGAGGUCAGGAGUUCAAGACCAGCCUGGCCAACAUGGAGAAACCUUGUCUCUACUAAAAGUACAAAAAUUAGGCAGGCGUGGUGGCAAGUGCCUGUAAUCCCAGUUACUCGGAAGGCUAAGGCAUGAGAAUCGCUUGAACCCGGGAGGUGGAGGUUGCGGUGAGGGAAGAUCGCACCUUUGCACUCCAGCCUGGGCAACAAGAGCAAAACUCUGUUUUAAGAAAAAAAAAAAGAAAACAAAAGAAACGGGCCAGGCGGGCUGGGCGCAGUGGGUCAGGCCUGUUAUCCCAGCACUUUGGGAAGCCGAGGUGGGCGGAUCACGAGGUCAGGAGUUGGAGACCAGCCUGGCCAACAUGGUGAAAUCCCGUCUCUACUAAAAAUACAAAAAUUAUCUGGGCAUGGUGGCUGCUGCCUGUAAUUCCAGAUACUUGUUAGGCUGAGGCAGAAUUGCUUGAAUCCAGGCAAGUGAAGGUUGCAGUGAGGCCACUGCACUCCAGUCUGGGCAACAGAGUGAGACUCCAUAUCUAAAAAUAAAAUAAAAUGGAGGAGGAGGAAGAGGAA
Long non-coding RNA from Homo sapiens (human), 5004 nucleotides. The record is from Ensembl. NCBI's taxonomy places the organism in Eukaryota, Metazoa, Chordata, Mammalia, Primates, Hominidae.